UACGUAGGGUCCGAGCGUUGUCCGGAAUUAUUGGGCGUAAAGGGCUCGUAGGCGGUCUGUUGCGUCGGGAGUGAAAACUUACAGCUUAACUGUGAGCGUGCUUUCGAUACGGGCAGGACUUGAGGCAUUCAGGGGAGAACGGAAUUCCUGGUGUAGCGGUGAAAUGCGCAGAUAUCAGGAGGAACACCGGUGGCGAAGGCGGUUCUCUGGGAAUGUCCUGACGCUGAGGAGCGAAAGCGGUGG
Molecule: ribosomal RNA, 243 nt
Filed under: uncultured bacterium
Lineage: Bacteria
Description: partial 16S ribosomal RNA
Rfam family: Bacterial small subunit ribosomal RNA
Source: RNAcentral